AACAGGGAUUGCCCUAGUAACGGCGAGUGAAGCGGCAACAGCUCAAAUUUGAAAUCUGGCUCUUUCAGAGUCCGAGUUGUAAUUUGCAGAGGGCGCUUUGGCUUUGGCAGCGGUCCAAGUUCCUUGGAACAGGACGUCACAGAGGGUGAGAAUCCCGUACGUGGUCGCUAGCUAUUGCCGUGUAAAGCCCCUUCGACGAGUCGAGUUGUUUGGGAAUGCAGCUCUAAAUGGGAGGUAAAUUUCUUCUAAAGCUAAAUAUUGGCCAGAGACCGAUAGCGCACAAGUAGAGUGAUCGAAAGAUGAAAAGCACUUUGGAAAGAGAGUCAAACAGCACGUGAAAUUGUUGAAAGGGAAGCGCUUGCAGCCAGACUUGCUUGCAGUUGCUCAUCCGGGCUUUUGCCCGGUGCACUCUUCUGCAGGCAGGCCAGCAUCAGUUUGGGCGGUGGGAUAAAGGUCUCUGUCAUGUACCUCUCUUCGGGGAGGCCUUAUAGGGGAGGCGACAUACCACCAGCCUAGACUGAGGUCCGCGCAUCUGCUAGGAUGCUGGCGUAAUGGCUGUAAGCGGCCCGUCUUGAAACACGGACCAAGGAGUCUAACAUCUAUGCGAGUGUUUGGGUGUCAAGCCCGAGCGCGUAAUGAAAGUGAACGGAGGUGGGAACCCGCAAGGGUGCACCAUCGACCGAUCCUGAAGUUUACGGAAGGAUUUGAGUAAGAGCAUGGCUGUUGGGACCCGAAAGAUGGUGAACUAUGCUUGAAUAGGGUGAAGCCAGAGGAAACUCUGGUGGAGGCUCGCAGCGGUUCUGACGUGCAAAUCGAUCGUCAAAUUUGGGCAUAGGGGCGAAAGACUAAUC
This 851-nucleotide ribosomal RNA is filed under the name Exserohilum turcicum. Its description in RNAcentral is "partial 28S ribosomal RNA". It matches the Rfam family "Eukaryotic large subunit ribosomal RNA", at positions 67 to 936 of the family's 3401-position model. The record is from RNAcentral. Lineage: Eukaryota; Fungi; Ascomycota; Dothideomycetes; Pleosporales; Pleosporaceae.